ACUACCUCUAGCAACAGAGCAUUCGCCAGAGUUGCACUGGAAUGUUCAACAUGCUUGAGCAGUGCGAGGCUGAACCUCAGUGACUUUCUAACACACGUGAACAGUGUUGCGAAGUGAGCUCAGGAGAUAACUAUUUAGCUGACUAAAAAGAAUGAGGGCAUUUUUCCGACGUCUUUUCGUAUUCAAGCAGCGGAGAUGACAUAAUUCAUUCAUCCUGUCACUUAGCUUCCGUCAACUGAGGAAAAUACAGAUGAGAUCAUUGCUGUUCUGUCACGAUGCACUGUUAUGUAACAACAGGAAUAUUUUUGGCUUUAAACAACAAGCUGCUCCGAUGUAACUGCACCGGAAACCCUGAAUGGAAUCUACUUCCUGACUCUGCUGUGUUGCCAAUGGAAACAAUAUCUCCCUUACAACCCAGCAUAAUACUUGCUACUGUCUUGAAUUGGACAAACUAUCCGAGCCAUGGUCUAAUAAUCCAAGGAUUUACAAAAGAUGUUGAAGCUGGAUGAUGGAGAAGCCAAAAUGGCGGCGGAUUAGGACACUCCAGCCGGAACUUGUCCACUCCGCCUGUUCUUUUCCUAUUUUUCCCUCCACCUUUGCCUCCCUGCUGUAGUUUUCUUCUGUUCUUCACGGGCUCUUGGCCUCGGACAACCCAUCCCGACCUCUGAUUUCUGGCAUCUGGUCGGCAGUCGAGGAAGGGGCGCCAGUGAGAGCGUGAUGACGGUGGCCUGGUGUGGGAGUGGGGAUAGUGGUCCACACAGGGAGCAUGGUGGCAGCCAGUAAUCAGACCACUUGGAGGCUUCCCGUGCUGGUCGGCUGUGGAGAUCCUUUGGAGACAGACUGUGAUAUUUGUCUUUUUAACUUUGCUUCUAGUUUUUCUAACCAAGAAUAUGUAUAACUAUAAUGUAGCAUUUUUUAUUCUUCCUUUCUAUAUUCUGUAAUUAAGGAUUGUACCUGGGCAUUCUGUACCUAAGAUGGCUUUGUGUUUUGGUGACAUUGUUACACUGUAACUAAUCUGUAUCUGAAGAAGCUGUACAUAGGUACCUUUGUACCUAAGAUUGUGCUGUGAGGGGCAACUCAUAAACUUCUCACUGUAGUCAUUUGAGUACAUGUGACAAUAAAGCUAAUUCAAUUCAAUAA
Molecule: long non-coding RNA, 1140 nt
Organism: Rhincodon typus (whale shark)
Lineage: Eukaryota; Metazoa; Chordata; Chondrichthyes; Orectolobiformes; Rhincodontidae
Exons: 2
Source: RefSeq, a predicted model, not a curated record